RNAcentral lists this small nucleolar RNA (100 nucleotides) under Oryza meridionalis. Its description in RNAcentral is "snoRNA snoR44_J54". It matches the Rfam family "Small nucleolar RNA R44/J54/Z268 family". From Rfam's summary of the family: R44, J54 and Z268 are members of the C/D class of snoRNA which contain the C (UGAUGA) and D (CUGA) box motifs. Most of the members of the box C/D family function in directing site-specific 2'-O-methylation of substrate RNAs. The record is from Rfam by way of RNAcentral. Lineage: Eukaryota; Viridiplantae; Streptophyta; Magnoliopsida; Poales; Poaceae.
GAUGCAUAUGAUGAGAAGCAAGACAGGGACAUCAGCACCCCCUUUCUGUGAAGGUGGGGAGUGAUCGACUAAGUCUCAAUGGGAAUCUCUCUGAUGCAUA